UGAGGAAUAUUGGUCAAUGGGCGAGAGCCUGAACCAGCCAAGUCGCGUGAAGGAAGACAGUCCUAAGGAUUGUAAACUUCUUUUAUACGGGAAUAACGGGCGAUACGAGUAUUGCAUUGAAUGUACCGUAAGAAUAAGCAUCGGCUAACUCCGUGCCAGCAGCCGCGGUAAUACGGAGGAUGCGAGCGUUAUCCGGAUUUAUUGGGUUUAAAGGGUGCGUAGGUUGUUCGGUAAGUCAGCGGUGAAACCUGAGCGCUCAACGUUCAGCCUGCCGUUGAAACUGCCGGGCUUGAGUUCAGUGGCGGCAGGCGGAAUUCGUGGUGUAGCGGUGAAAUGCAUAGAUAUCACGAGGAACUCCGAUUGCGAAGGCAGCUUGCCAUACUGCGACUGACACUGAAGCACGAAGGCGUGGGUAUCAAACAGG
RNAcentral lists this ribosomal RNA (424 nucleotides) under Fusobacteriota bacterium. RNAcentral describes it as "Fusobacteria bacterium partial 16S ribosomal RNA". It matches the Rfam family "Bacterial small subunit ribosomal RNA", at positions 355 to 776 of the family's 1533-position model. The record is from RNAcentral. Lineage: Bacteria; Fusobacteriati; Fusobacteriota. RNAcentral also lists the same sequence under 1 other name.